RNAcentral lists this ribosomal RNA (776 nucleotides) under uncultured archaeon. RNAcentral describes it as "bacterial SSU rRNA". It matches the Rfam family "Archaeal small subunit ribosomal RNA", at positions 54 to 805 of the family's 1478-position model. The record is from RNAcentral.
UUAGUUGUGCGUCUCCUAGCCACGGUGGAGGCGCGGCGCACAGCUCAGUAACACGUGGCUAACCUACCCUUGGGAUGGAAAUAUCCCCGGGAAACUGGGGCUAAUUUCCGAUAGGUGAGGAUUCCUGGAAUGGGUCUUCGCUUAAAGGGCACUUAGGGCAUGCUUCUAGGUGUUGCCCAAGGAUGGGGCCGCGGCCGAUCAGGUUGUUGGUGAGGUAAUGGCUCACCAAGCCUUUAACCGGUACGGGCCGUGGGAGCGGGAGCCCGGAGAUGGGCACUGAGACAAGGGCCCAGGCCCUACGGGGCGCAGCAGUCGCGAAAACUCCGCAAUACGCGAAAGCGUGACGGGGCCAUCCCGAGUGCCGUCCGCUGAGGAUGGCUUUUCCCCAUUGUAGAUAGCUGGGGGAAUAAGGAGAGGGCAAGUCUGGUGUCAGCCGCCGCGGUAAUACCAGCUCUCCGAGUGGUGUGGAUGUUUAUUGGGCUUAAAGCAUCCGUAGCUGGCUGAGCAAGUCCUCUGUUAAAUCCAGCGAUUCAAUCGUUGGCUUGCAGAGGAUACUGUUCGGCUUGGAGGCGGGAGAGGCCGACGGUAUUCUCGGGGUAGGGGUGAAAUCCUAUAAUCCCGGGAAGACCACCAGUGGCGAAGGCUGUCGGCUAGAACGCGCUCGACGGUGAGGGAUGAAAGCUGGGGGAGCGAACCGGAUUAGAUACCCGGGUAGUCCCAGCUGUAAACGAUGCAGGCUAGGUGUUAGGGCGGCUACGCGCCGCCUUAGUGCCGCA